This is a long non-coding RNA of Salmo salar (Atlantic salmon), 1618 nucleotides long. RefSeq lists it as uncharacterized. Lineage: Eukaryota; Metazoa; Chordata; Actinopteri; Salmoniformes; Salmonidae. The record is from RefSeq and is a predicted model, not a curated record.
UGGGAUCAGUGAGUCAUACUAACAUCCCCCAGGCAAGUUUCUACCUGUUUAACAACACGGCACCCAGAAGCACCCAGAACUACCCAGAGCCCCCCAGAAGCACUCAGAGCCAACAAUAGACACACACAGACAAAGUGGAAUAGGCUCUCACCUGUCUGAAUAGGCCUACAGACUGAAAUGGCUAAGUAACAGCAUUCAAUUCUCUGUUGCCUCUAUCCUGUCUCUACCACCUUAGUCCAGCUGUGAAGCCAUGCUGUGAAGCCAUGCUGUGAAACCACGCUGUUGAAGCUAUGCUUUGAAGCCAUGCUGUUGAUGCCACGCUGUGAAACCACGCUGUGAAACCGUGCUGUUGAAGCCGUGCCGUUGAAGCCGUGCUGUGAAGCCGUACUUUGAAGCCGUGCUGUGAAGCCAUGCUUCUUUAUACUGUGGCCUUUACUCUCUUUUGAAUACCUGUUUCAGAAACCUCAUAUGACAGGUUAUUACUAGUCUGUCAGUCCAUAUCAAACACACGUUUUCCAUGUCUCUAUAGAACCCUCCUGUCAUUAUUACCCUUGUAACACUGUUUCAUGUUGCGUUAUACACAUGAAGGGAGGUGCUUGGAAGGUUCUGAUGUCGUUCCAUAUCAAAACUGUACAUAAUGAAGAUAGAGUCCUCUUGUUAUAUUCCUGUCUAUCACAGUAUACCUAUCAACCUGUUGAGGAAAUGUCACCUCAUCAGUCAGACUCAGAUAGUAUCACAGUUUAACUAUCAACCUGUUGAGGAAAUGUCACCUCAUCAGUCAGACUCAGAUAGUAUCACAGUUUAACUAUCAACCUGUUGAGGAAAUGUCACAUCAUGAGUCAGACUCAGAUAGUAUCACAGUUUAACUAUCAACCUGUUGAGGAAAUGUCACCUCAUGAGUCAGACUCAGAUAGUAUCACAGUUUAACUAUCAACCUUUUGAGGAAAUGUCACCUCAUCAGUCAGACUCAGAUAGUAUCACAGUUUAACUAUCAACCUGUUGAGGAAAUGUCACCUCAUCAGUCAGACUCAGAUAGUAUCACAGUUUAACUAUCAACCUGUUGAGGAAAUGUCACAUCAUGAGUCAGACAGAUAGUUUAUUAACUGUCAUGUCACCUCAUGAGUCAGACAGAUAGUUUAUUAACUGUCAUGUCACCUCAUGAGUCAGACAGAUAGUUUAUUAACUGUCAUGUCACCUCAUGAGUCAGACAGAUAGUUUAUUAACUGUCAUGUCACCUCAUGAGUCAGACAGAUAGUUUAUUAACUGUAAUGUCACGUCAUGAGUCAGACAGAUAGUUUAUUAACUGUAAUGUCACCUCAUGAGUCAGACAGAUAGUUUAUUAACUCUAAUGUCAGCGUGAUAAAGCAUAAGUCUUGGUGGGGAUGAUAAUUGUUAAUUUAUUCAUAUGGUUUAGCGUGAAUCUGUUUGUUAUUAAUUGAAUAGCAAUAUUGAUUACAUUUCCCUCACCUUCACCUUUGAUGAAACGUUGGAAAAGAUUUGGAAAAAAUGUCACUCUGACUGGCGAGCGCAUGCAUGAGCAGCCCUGACUAUGACGCACCAUGUCAUGACCUCGCAUAUGAGAUUACACUUGAUAUUAUUAAAGUUCCUAGCAAAAGUU